Molecule: ribosomal RNA, 253 nt
Filed under: uncultured bacterium
Lineage: Bacteria
Description: partial 16S ribosomal RNA
Rfam family: Bacterial small subunit ribosomal RNA
Source: RNAcentral
UACAGAGGUCUCAAGCGUUGUUCGGAAUUACUGGGCGUAAAGGGUGGGCAGGCCGCGCGGGCAGUCAAAUGUGUAAUCCAGGGGCUCAACCCCUGAACUGCGCUUGAUACUUCCGCGCUAGAACCUUGGAGAGGAGUCUGGAAUUCUCGGUGUAGCAGUGAAAUGCGUAGAUAUCGAGAAGCACACUUAGGGCGAAGGCAAGACUCUGGACAAGUGUUGACGCUCAUGCACGAAGGCCAGGGUAGCGAACGGG